This is a non-coding RNA of Podarcis lilfordi (Lilford's wall lizard), 9614 nucleotides long. The record is from the annotation of a GenBank genome assembly. NCBI's taxonomy places the organism in Eukaryota, Metazoa, Chordata, Lepidosauria, Squamata, Lacertidae.
CUCAACAACAAAAUUUAAAAUUCGGCUUUGUAAUUCGGAAUUUAUGUAAUUUAAUUUAAUUUGAUUUGAUUGGCCGGUUAAUAAAAAUUAUUUUUUUAAAAAAAAAGUUCCCCGCACCUAGGUUAUAGGUGCAGUCAUGAUGAGCUCUUGCACUUCAAAAUUUACUUCUAACAUUUUAAGAAAGCCUGACCUGAGCUGCAAAAUUGCUAGGGGUGCAAAAUUUUGGCACCCGGUGCCUCCCCAACACAGCUCUGUGCUUCCAUCUCUGGGCUCUGUUGAAAACGGCUUCUCUGUGCGAACCAGGAAGUGACCUCUGCAGACAAUGGAAUGCCUCUUCUUUUCUUAUCUCUGUGGCUGUGAUCUCCUGGGUGAUGCAGAAGCUGUUAGGCAAUUGAAUGUGCAUGCAUUUUCUGUUUGUUUCCUUCCACCCCUCUGCGUGGCCCAGGGCACUGGCAACCCAUGCUAUGCCACUAGGAUCAGGUAUUCCAUAGAAUAGUGGUUCCUAAACUGUUGUCUGCCUACUGUUGGGGCUCCCUUCCUUCUGUCCUAUGUCAAAGUGGGCAACAUCUGCUACUGGGAAAGAGUUGCCCUGCCUCUGGCUCCACCCAUCACUAAUGUGCAGCUCAUGGAAGAUUUCCUAUGAGGGGGUGCAGCCCUUCACUUAAAAAAAUAAUGUUUCCCACCCCUUCCUUAGCGGGUAUUCCAAAUCAUGACAGGACAUAGAGAAAGCAGCAUACAAAUAUCACUGAGGUGCUCUGAGGCAACGGUUGCCAUGGUGGGAGUUAAGAACCUAAGAAGAUCCUUGCUGGUUCAGACCAGCAGAUCAGGUGGGACAUUUUAAGGGCAUCCAGUUUAUAUGCAAUUAGCUUGUCUCUCUCUAGUCAGCAAAUCCAAAUCAAGAAAGACUUGUGGUUCUCUGGCAAGGAAAGAAAGCUGGAUUCAAGUUAAUAGCAGAUUUGAAAUGGUUUGGAUUAGGGGAACAAAAAGGUACCGGUAGGAUUUUUCUUUCUCCCUCAGCUCAGUGGGAAGCCAUCAAAUCAUGUAAUCGCAAUGAGUAAUAAGGAAAUGCAAAAGCUCAACGUUUGUGUGGUAAGAAAGCCUUAACAUUCAACUGUCCUUCGCUUCUGACAAAAGUGGCUCCAGUAUUUGGAGGGUGGGGCAAUAUGUCCUGGAAAUUUAACGAAGGGUGCCUCCAGACUGUCACUGCUUUGUGGGACGGAUUCAAGCACAUACCAGGGAUUUUUAGGGUUGUGCAGUGAAAGUGGGUCAAAGAAAAGUGACCGUGAAAUGCAUUUAAAUGUGUGGAAUGAAAAAUGGUUAACAGGAAGACAUAGAAACACCCCCAAUCAGAAUGAAUGCUCAUUGUCAUAUAACCUCUCCGCAAACAAAUCAGAAUGAAUGCUCAAUAAAGACUAGAUAUAAUCGAACCUCUGCACAGGUUUUGUGCAAGCGAAUUACAAUAAAUGCUCAGUAAGUAGAUUGUCAAGAGCAGGGGUAGUCAACCUUUUUAUACCUACCGCCCACUGAUGCAUCUUUCUUGAUGGUAAAAUUUCCUUACCGCCCACCAGUGCUCAAUGGAAGGAGGAUUCAGCUUGUGCCAUAGAACCCCCUACCGCCCACCUAGAAUCCUGAAACGCCCACUAGUGGGCUGGAGGGACCAGGUUGACAACCUCUGGUCUAGAGGAACCCUAAGGCUGCAAUGCUAUAUGCACCCUACCUUUGAAGUAAGGGCGUUGGAGAAUUCUGACAAAAACUGCAAACAGGAGUAGGAAUUGCUGACGUUUGGUUAUUUAUCCUAUGUCCAGAAUGGAAAUCAAUCCAGUGAAUGCAAUCAGUAUUCCCUGCUGUGGUUGCUUUCAGUCUGCAAACAAUAUGGGAUGAUUACGUUUCCUCCCUGCAUCCCAAUGUGCACAGUUUCCUUUGCAUUGAAAUGAAUGGGGUAGAAUACUGUAAUGACAACCACACAGGUGGAGUAGUGGGGGUCCAGGGGUCCAGCCCCCCCCAAAAAGUUCAGUGGCAGCCAUGCAUGCUUAUACACCCCACGGCAUGCUGACAUCAUGCGAACACACUGGGGUGUGUGUGCAUGCAUGGCAUGGUGACGUUGCACAGCCCCGGGGCCCCCUCAAUCACGAGGGCAAGGUGGCACACGGGGUGACAAUUUGCAUUUGUAAUUUUGUGACAACAGACAGCGAGACGAAUAUCACAGCUGUUGGUCAAAGAAGGACUGCAGUGGAAAAGAAACAGUGCUGCGUGUGAUGAAUACAGGGCAGAAUGUGUUUUGGGCUCCCAGUUGGGCUCCCUGCUUUCAACCCUGCAAUGGGCAUCAGCUACAAUGGCUGGCUGUUGAAUCUUAUUUCAGUAUUGACCAUUGAAUCUUGUUGUUGUUUAGUCAUUUAGUCGUGUCCGACUCUUUGUGACCCCAUGGAUCAGAGCACAUCAGGCACUCCUGUCCUCCACUGCCUCCCGCAGUUUGGUCAAACUCAUGCUGGUAGCUUUGAGAACACUGUCCUACCAUCUCGUCCUCUGUCAUCCCCUUCUCCUUGUACCCUCCAUCUUUCACAACAUCAGGGUCUUUUCCAGGGAGUCUUCUCUUCUCAUGAGGUGGCCAAAGUAUUGGAGCCUCAGCUUCACAAUCUGUCCUUCCAGUGAGCACUCAUGGCUGAUUUCCUUCAGAAUGGAUAGGUUUUAUCUUCUUGCAGUCCAUGGGACUCUCAAAAGUCUCCUCCAGCACCAUAAUUCAAAAGCAUCAAUUCUUUGGCGAUCAGCCUUCUUUAUGGUCCAGCUCUCACUUCCAUACAUAAAUCUUACUCCUCCACUGACCCUGAGGACAGUAGGCUGGUUUAACAGAGUCUGAGUGGCACACAUUGGAGGUCCUCCAAUACCUCACUGCCACUCCCUGACCUCAGCAUCUUCAAACUGAAGCAGCCACCCCACUGAUCCACACUGCCUCUCCCCAUCUAUGACCAAGCUCAUGUUUGCGGCACAACCUCCUCCUUCCAGAAGAUUACCUAGUAAUGCCAGCAGUUCUGUUUUCUCUGUGGUGGUUUUCUGAGUGGAACGAACAACACGUUAAGUUAUCCUUACUUCAAAGCUGUAAUUGGUACUAAGGGGGAUUAAAAAACCUUGGAUCGUUUCGAAACUUGGAAGAUCAAACAAGAAUACUGCUAAGGGGUUUGAAAACCACCACUGCCUUGAAGAUUAGCUUUGGGUGAGUCAGCCUGUGUGGAUCAAGAAACAAACAUAUCUUCCAUCACUAGACUUGUGACUCCUUCUGCAUUGCCAAUCCACACAAGGUGCUUACAUCAAAUGGGUGCAUAUUGUGGGUUUUCCAGAUACAUCCCAGGGUUGCUGGGUGUUUUUUCUUUCUUUGCAACAUCCACAUGAUAUUGUUGGCAUCAAAAUGCCUGUCAGUAUUUCCACCCUCCAUAUUAAUAAGUUAAAAAACAACAACUUGUUGCCAACAACCCAUAGGUGAUAUUUCAAUAACCCAUGUUAUCUGUUCGCUGAAGUAUGUUGUUGUUUAGUCAUUUAGUCGUGUCCGACUCUUCGUGAUCCCAUGGACCAGAGCACGCCAGGCACUCCUGUCUUCCACUGCCUCCUGCAGUUUAGUCAAACUCAUGCUGGUAGCUUCGAGAACACUGUCCAACCAUCUCGUCCUCUGUCGUCUCCUUCUCCUUGUGCCCUCCAUCUUUCGCAACAUCAGGUUCUUUUCCAGGGAGUCUUCUCUUCUCAUGAGGUGGCCAAAGUAUUGGAGCCUCAGCUUCACAAUCUGUCCUUCCAGUGAGCACUCAGGGCUGAUUUUCUUAAGAAUGGAUAGGUUUGAUCUUCUUGCAGUCCAUGGGACUCUCAAGAGUCUCCUCCAACACCAUAAUUCAAAAGCAUCAAUUCUUCGGCGAUCAGCCUUCUUUAUGGUCCAGCUCUCACUUCCAUACAUCACUACUGGGAAAACCAUAGCUUUAACUAUACGGACCUUUGUUGGAAAGGUGAUGUCUCUGCUUUUUAAGAUGCUGUCUAGGUUUGUCAUUGCUGAAGUAUAUUUGUCAUUGCUGAAGUAUAUUUUGCAUUUAUCUGAAUAGGAACUGGGAAGGGUCACAGCUCUGUGGUAGAACAUCUGCUUGGCAUGCCAAAGGUCCCCUUUCAAUCCCCAACAUCUCCUGGUAAGGUGGGGUGAGAAUUGCGCCUGACGUCUUGGAGAGCCACUGCUACUCACUGUGUAGGAAAUACUGAGCUAGAUGGACUAAUGGUCCGACUCAGUAUAAGUCAGCUCCCCAUGAUCCUAUCCUAGUUCCAGUUUUAUGCUUUAAUGUAGGGUUGCCAUGCAUCCAGAUUUUCCUGGCCAUGUCUGGAAUUCCAAUGAUGGAAUCAGUGUUUGGGGGGAAUUUUGGGAAAUAGACAAAAUGUCUGAGGUUUUGAAACUUUCCCAAAAAAGCUAAACAACAACUUUUUGUGUCCGGAUUUUUUACUUCUUGAAAUAUGGCAACCCUAUUUUAAUGGGAAACAGAAAGUAGGGUAAAAGGUAAUGGAUCCCUGGACAAUUAAGCCCAGUCAAAGGCGACUAUGGGGUGCGGUGCUCAUCUCACUUUCAGGCCAAGGGAGCCGGCAUUUGUCCACAGACAACAUUGCAGGUCAUGUGGCCAGCAUGACUAAACCACUUCUGGUGCAACGGGACACUGUGAUGGAAACCAGAGCGCACAGAAAUGUCAUUUACCUUCCCGCUGCAGCGGUACCUAUUUAUCUACUUGCACUGGUGUGCUUUCAAAUUGCUAGGUUGGCAGGAGCUCACGCCAUUGCGCAGAUUCGAACCACUGACCUUCUGAUUGGCAAGCCCAAGAUGCUCAGUGGUUUAGACCACAGCACUAUCCAUGUCCUGAGGAUGAAAGGAGAAAUCAAGCAGUGAGAUAGGAUGGAUAGCAGCAAAUCCAGGAUGGGUUCAGAAAGCGACUGAGAUACCUUCUGGUUAAGAUCAAACAGAAAAUUAGUCUCCCUUAGAGGAUUACCAUCAAGGUUUGAAACACCCACUGAAAGCAAUAAAACUCACAAGCACCAAAAUCACCUUAGUUUGAGCAGAGUCGGGAUCUGAGCCACAGAAAUGGAGGAGUCUUUAUUUAGAAGCUGAAAGAUGAUUUUAAUGCAAAUGUUAUUGAAAACAAGGGGCAAAACAAAAGCUUCCUCCAUACCAGCACAAGGGGGGGUGGAAAGCAACAUUUGCAGUAGAUAGAACCUUAUGUUUGCAAGACAGAGGCACCGAGACAGACGAUGAGGACUUGAGAAGUGCUAUAAAAACCUCAUGUUCCAAAAACAAAUUUUCUGGCUGACAAACACGAGAAGGAAACACACACAUUCAUUUCACUUCAAGCAAUCUAAUUAAAAGCACUCUUGAACAUAAUAGCAUAAGAAGUGUGGAUAACCAACCUCACAUAGCCAGCAUGCUUAAGUCUAAUUGAUGCAUGAAGGAGUUAAUGCCAUAGAGUAAGCUGUCCUGCCAGGCUUAGCUAGGUCACUCCCCUUCUGAACUCCCUCCAUGCAGAAUGAAGGUGUAAAUAGGUGUAUAAACUCUAUUUCUUAAAGGUACAGCAGUGUCCUCCACGUCUCAAGUCUCCAAAGGACCACCCUGGGUGAGUGUCUGGAACCCCAUGGGAGGAGGGGGAGUCACCCAAACUUUGUAAUAAUAAAGUCUGCCCCCUGCUAUAGACAUGCUCGUGGGAGAGCAUAAGAAGAGUCUGGUUGGAUCAGACCAAAGGUCCAUUUAGUCCAGCAUUAUUUUUCCUACCAUGGCCUUAAGAGAUGCUUCUGGGAGGCCCACAAGCAGGUAAAUGAAUACAUUCUCCUGCUGUUGCCUCCUAGCAGCUGGUAUUCAGUGGCAAAAGUGCCUCUAGACAUCAAGGUUCUACGUAGCUUUUGUAGCUCAUAGCCAUUGUUAGGCUCCAUCGGUAGAAUUGUAUCACUUGAAACAGCCAUACUACUACUACUACUACUACUACUAAUAAUAAUAAUAAUAAACAAAAACAAAUUUUAGUUGUAUCCCACCCUCCCUGGCCGAAACCAUGCCUCCCCCCCCCCCCCAGGAGAAUAUUGGGAAAUGUAUCUUGAUUUGAAAUUCAUGGCAUGCUGUACGUUGAAAGAAAAUUAUAUGAAAAUGAUGUAUCGGUGGUACCAAACGCCUAGUAAGUUAGCAAAUAUGUAUAAGACAGGUACAAAUAUCUGCUGGAAAUGUAAGGAAAAAGAAGGCACCUUUUAUUAUAUGUGGUGGACGUGUAAGGUAAUAAAAGCGUUUUGGGAAAUGAUAUAUAAUGAAUUGAAAAAAAAUUUAGAAUAACUUUUAUUUAAAAACAAACAAACCCAGAGGUUUUUCUAUUAGGAAUUGUAGGUGCUGGAAUUCCAAGGGAGCAGGAAAGACUUUUUAUGUAUGCGAUGACAGCUGCACGGAUGUUGUUAGCCCAGAGAUGGAAAGAAGAUAAAGUCCCUACCAGAGAAGAAUGGCAAAUAAAAUUGUUGGGCUAUGCCAAAAUGGCAAAACUGACCAGGAAGCUCAGAAACCAGGAAGACCAAAACUUUAAUAAGAAAUGGGGGGAAAUUAUAGCUUACAUAGAAGGCCACUGAAAAGAGCUGAAAACACUAGCAGGACUGCAAUAACACUUGUAAUGUAACGAGAACUAUGGAUAUAACAGAGUUACCAAAAAAAUUGGAUUAUUUAAAUAAGAUGCAGUAGAACAGGGGUAACAACAGAACCAAUGGAGGGGAAGGUGAGAAGUCCAAAGAUUUGGAAGAAUCUUUAAAUUAUGAAUUUGUUGUAGUAUGAUUAUAAUUUGACUUUUGUAAAACCAAAUAAAAAUUAUUUGGAUUUCCCCCCCCAAAAAGAGAAAUGCAUCUUGUUCAGGGUGCUGUGUCUUGUUUGGAGGGACCCCCCCCCCCCGCAUUCCCCUCACAGAGCAACAAUUCCCAGAGUUCCCCGGGAAGAGACAUUGUUUGCUAGGAAACAGAGCUAUAUGCGGGAAAGAGGGGUCUGCUAACAACUCUCCGCAUCCUUAACAAAUGACGCUUUCCAUAGAACGGGCUAAUUGCCUUCGAACGCCUUCUCAGCCAAAGGAAGAUGUUGCUGUUAACCAGCGCAGGUUAUUACUGGAGCGAUCAGCAUUAAUCCUUUAAGCAUCACCACAUUUGCGGCGCAUCACAGCCUCCAGCAUUAUGACAUAAAUACAAAGCGAAACCUGCCAAGUCUUGCAGUCGACAUGACAGUAAUUGCGCUUGUGUUUAUAAUGGCUGCGGUGCCACACAUGGUUCGACGGCUUAGCGUCAGAGCCGGCGCCAGUUCCCUUCGGAGCAAUCUGCCAAGGUGGCAAGCCUCUCAACAGGUGAAUUUGCAGUCAAAAGCAAGCCCUGUUCUAUUUGGUCAGUGGGAUUUUCUGUCCAGUAUGGACCACAGACUUAGUUAAAGGAGUAGAUUGCAUUGAACUCAAUGCGUGUUUAUGACAGAGGGCAGCUCUGUCGUUAUUUUCAUUUUUCCAAAUAGCAGCAGUGCCAAGAAAGGUGGGGGAAGGAAUCUGUGGGGAGUGGGAAUGGGGGGGGGGGUUAACCCUUUCAUUUCAGGCUGUUCUCCACCCCACCCCUCACCCCAGCAAGCUGCUCUAAAUUGUGAAGGGGAAGCAAAUACAGUGGUACCUCAGUUUUUUAACAUACAGUGGUACCUCAGGUUACGUACUUAAUUCGUUUCGGAGGUCCGUUCUUAACCUGAAACUGUUCUUAACCUGAAGCACCACUUUAGCUAAUGGGGUCUCCUCCUGCUGCCGCGCCGCUGGAGCACGAUUUCUGUUCUCAUCCUGAAGCAAAGUUCUUAACCCGAGGUACUAUUUCUGGGUUAGCGGAGUCUGUAACCUGAAGCGUAUGUAACCUGAAGCGUAUGUAACCUGAAGCGUAUGUAACCCGAGGUACCAUUGUAAUCCGUUCUGGAAAACUGUUCGAGUUCUGAAAUGUUCGAAAACUCAGUAGCCGACAGCUAGGCCUCAGGAUCUUGCAUUCAGCGGAAGCCUCGUGGCAUGUUCGACUUCCGAGGCAUGUUCGAAAACUGAAGCAUUUACUUCCGGGUUUACGGCAUUCGAAAACCGAAAUGUUUGUCAACGGAGACAUUCAAAAACCAAAGUACCACUGGAGCCAUAUGCAGGGUUGAGUGACGUCAGGUAAUCGGUGGAGGAGAACAAGGCUUAAUCUUUCUUCCCACCUUGCAGCAGUCCUGAUCCGAAUUGUCCUUGCUAUGGAGCUGCUUUUAAAAAAUAAAAAGGAAGUUUGACCCGUAAAGUAUACUGCAUGUUGUAUCUAGUAACUUGUUGAUACCAGAACUGAUGGUGUUGACUGGAAGCAGGUUCAGGAAUGAUUCUUCACACAACACACGACUGAUUUGUGGAACUUACGGCUGUAUGAUUAGACGCAUUCCUGGUUGGUCAAGGCCUAUCAGCCAUUGUUGGUUAUGAUGGUUAAAUGGAGCCUCCAGUUUCAGAGGCAGUGUACAUUUUUGGACAAGGUUUCGAGAAGAAACAACAGGAGAGGGCUGCAGCCUUCAUGACCUCUUGUGGGCUUCCCACAGGCACUUGGCGAACCACUGUGGGAAACAGGAUCCUAGACUAGGCCAGCCUGUCGGAGCCCCCAUACGACCAGCUGUAAUGGCUACUCCUCCGACGUAUCUUUGGAACCCAUCCAGGCUCUCCUCCGAUGGUGAUUGAUGACCUAAGCCUUUGAAUGAGACUUCAGGCACGCUCUCCGUUCGCAGAGUACCCAGACAGCAGCAGAAGGAGCCAGAAAUAUGUGCUACAUUGCUACUUUAUUUCUACCUGCGGAAAACAGGAAAGAUUAUGUGUCUGCUCUCUGUGAGAGACAGAGAACAACAGGACAAAGAAACAGGAAACCAGUAACAUCAACAUCCACCUCCCGUCUCCUGUGAGACUUCCAACAGUCUGGAAUGUCAACAGAGUCUUGUGACUCCAAGAACUGCACAAUGGCAUAACAGAAACCUAACAGCCUUCCCCAGCCUGGCACCUUCCAGAUCACUUGGACUACAAAUCCCAUCAGCCUCAGCCAUCAAAGGCUGGCUGGGGCUGAUAGGAGCAGCAGAGUUUCAUUUGGACGGCUCCACUCAACGGACCUAUAGGGCUCUUCUUAUGAUAUUAUUUACUUAGUAGAUUUCUAUCCCACUUUAAAAAAUAUGAAUCUAUAUCCAUAGCAGCUGUCUUUUAACAUUAAAAGUGUUUCACAAAACAUCAUGACCCAUAAAAUCAUGGCUUUUGUUUUCAGCCGGAGCUCAGUUCUGGCACUUCUCAGGCAGACCCCCCAAGUGUCCCUAUUUUCCAGGGACAGUCAUGGAUUUACAGAAGCCAUCUCUGUUUCUGAUUUGAUCCCAGAAUGUCCCGCUUUUCCUUAGGAUGUCCCUAUUUUCACUGGCAAAAUCUUGGAGGGUAUGGAGUUAUGUGACCCCCUAGGCAAGGUGAUAAGUAACUAUACAACCUUUAAAAGACAUCUGAAGGCAGCUCCGUAUAGGGACAUUUUAAAAAAUGUUUUAUUAUGUUUUUAUAUAUGUUGGAAGCUGCACAGAGUGACUGGGGGCAACCCAGACAGAUGGGUGGGGC